GUGUCAGCAGCCGCGGUAAUACGAAGGGUGCAAGCGUUACUCGGAAUUACUGGGCGUAAAGCGUGCGUAGGUGGUGGUUUAAGUCUGCUGUGAAAGCCCUGGGCUCAACCUGGGAAUUGCAGUGGAUACUGGAUCACUAGAGUGUGGUAGAGGGAUGCGGAAUUUCUGGUGUAGCAGUGAAAUGCGUAGAGAUCAGAAGGAACAUCCGUGGCGAAGGCGGCAUCCUGGGCCAACACUGACACUGAGGCACGAAAGCGUGGGGAGCAAACAGGAUUAGAUACCCGGGUAGUCC
This 292-nucleotide ribosomal RNA is filed under the name uncultured bacterium. Its description in RNAcentral is "partial 16S ribosomal RNA". It matches the Rfam family "Bacterial small subunit ribosomal RNA", at positions 505 to 796 of the family's 1533-position model. The record is from RNAcentral.